This 155-nucleotide ribosomal RNA is filed under the name Armillaria mellea. RNAcentral describes it as "5.8S ribosomal RNA". It matches the Rfam family "5.8S ribosomal RNA". Rfam says of the family: 5.8S ribosomal RNA (5.8S rRNA) is a component of the large subunit of the eukaryotic ribosome. It is transcribed by RNA polymerase I as part of the 45S precursor that also contains 18S and 28S rRNA. The record is from RNAcentral. Lineage: Eukaryota; Fungi; Basidiomycota; Agaricomycetes; Agaricales; Physalacriaceae.
ACUUUCAACAACGGAUCUCUUGGCUCUCGCAUCGAUGAAGAACGCAGCGAAAUGCGAUAACUAAUGUGAAUUGCAGAAUUCAGUGAAUCAUCGAGUCUUUGAACGCACCUUGCGCCCUUUGGUAUUCCAAAGGGCAUGCCUGUUUGAGUGUCAUU